GGGUUGUGAGGUUAAGCGACUAAGCGUACACGGUGGAUGCCCUGGCAGUCAGAGGCGAUGAAGGACGUGCUAAUCUGCGAUAAGCGUCGGUAAGGUGAUAUGAACCGUUAUAACCGGCGAUUUCCGAAUGGGGAAACCCAGUGUGUUUCGACACACUAUCAUUAACUGAAUCCAUAGGUUAAUGAGGCGAACCGGGGGAACUGAAACAUCUAAGUACCCCGAGGAAAAGAAAUCAACCGAGAUUCCCCCAGUAGCGGCGAGCGAACGGGGAGGAGCCCAGAGCCUGAAUCAGUGUGUGUGUUAGUGGAAGCGUCUGGAAAGGCGCGCGAUACAGGGUGACAGCCCCGUACACAAAAAUGCACAUGCUGUGAGCUCGAUGAGUAGGGCGGGACACGUGGUAUCCUGUCUGAAUAUGGGGGGACCAUCCUCCAAGGCUAAAUACUCCUGACUGACCGAUAGUGAACCAGUACCGUGAGGGAAAGGCGAAAAGAACCCCGGCGAGGGGAGUGAAAAAGAACCUGAAACCGUGUACGUACAAGCAGUGGGAGCACGCUUCGGCGUGUGACUGCGUACCUUUUGUAUAAUGGGUCAGCGACUUAUAUUCUGUAGCAAGGUUAACCGAAUAGGGGAGCCGAAGGGAAACCGAGUCUUAACUGGGCGUUAAGUUGCAGGGUAUAGACCCGAAACCCGGUGAUCUAGCCAUGGGCAGGUUGAAGGUUGGGUAACACUAACUGGAGGACCGAACCGACUAAUGUUGAAAAAUUAGCGGAUGACUUGUGGCUGGGGGUGAAAGGCCAAUCAAACCGGGAGAUAGCUGGUUCUCCCCGAAAGCUAUUUAGGUAGCGCCUCGUGAAUUCAUCUCCGGGGGUAGAGCACUGUUUCGGCAAGGGGGUCAUCCCGACUUACCAACCCGAUGCAAACUGCGAAUACCGGAGAAUGUUAUCACGGGAGACACACGGCGGGUGCUAACGUCCGUCGUGAAGAGGGAAACAACCCAGACCGCCAGCUAAGGUCCCAAAGUCAUGGUUAAGUGGGAAACGAUGUGGGAAGGCCCAGACAGCCAGGAUGUUGGCUUAGAAGCAGCCAUCAUUUAAAGAAAGCGUAAUAGCUCACUGGUCGAGUCGGCCUGCGCGGAAGAUGUAACGGGGCUAAACCAUGCACCGAAGCUGCGGCAGCGACGCUGAUGCGUUGUUGGGUAGGGGAGCGUUCUGUAAGCCUGCGAAGGUGUGCUGUGAGGCAUGCUGGAGGUAUCAGAAGUGCGAAUGCUGACAUAAGUAACGAUAAAGCGGGUGAAAAGCCCGCUCGCCGGAAGACCAAGGGUUCCUGUCCAACGUUAAUCGGGGCAGGGUGAGUCGACCCCUAAGGCGAGGCCGAAAGGCGUAGUCGAUGGGAAACAGGUUAAUAUUCCUGUACUUGGUGUUACUGCGAAGGGGGGACGGAGAAGGCUAUGUUGGCCGGGCGACGGUUGUCCCGGUUUAAGCGUGUAGGCUGGUUUUCCAGGCAAAUCCGGAAAAUCAAGGCUGAGGCGUGAUGACGAGGCACUACGGUGCUGAAGCAACAAAUGCCCUGCUUCCAGGAAAAGCCUCUAAGCAUCAGGUAACAUCAAAUCGUACCCCAAACCGACACAGGUGGUCAGGUAGAGAAUACCAAGGCGCUUGAGAGAACUCGGGUGAAGGAACUAGGCAAAAUGGUGCCGUAACUUCGGGAGAAGGCACGCUGAUAUGUAGGUGAAGUCCCUCGCGGAUGGAGCUGAAAUCAGUCGAAGAUACCAGCUGGCUGCAACUGUUUAUUAAAAACACAGCACUGUGCAAACACGAAAGUGGACGUAUACGGUGUGACGCCUGCCCGGUGCCGGAAGGUUAAUUGAUGGGGUUAGCCGCAAGGCGAAGCUCUUGAUCGAAGCCCCGGUAAACGGCGGCCGUAACUAUAACGGUCCUAAGGUAGCGAAAUUCCUUGUCGGGUAAGUUCCGACCUGCACGAAUGGCGUAAUGAUGGCCAGGCUGUCUCCACCCGAGACUCAGUGAAAUUGAACUCGCUGUGAAGAUGCAGUGUACCCGCGGCAAGACGGAAAGACCCCGUGAACCUUUACUAUAGCUUGACACUGAACAUUGAGCCUUGAUGUGUAGGAUAGGUGGGAGGCUUUGAAGUGUGGACGCCAGUCUGCAUGGAGCCGACCUUGAAAUACCACCCUUUAAUGUUUGAUGUUCUAACGUUGACCCGUAAUCCGGGUUGCGGACAGUGUCUGGUGGGUAGUUUGACUGGGGCGGUCUCCUCCUAAAGAGUAACGGAGGAGCACGAAGGUUGGCUAAUCCUGGUCGGACAUCAGGAGGUUAGUGCAAUGGCAUAAGCCAGCUUGACUGCGAGCGUGACGGCGCGAGCAGGUGCGAAAGCAGGUCAUAGUGAUCCGGUGGUUCUGAAUGGAAGGGCCAUCGCUCAACGGAUAAAAGGUACUCCGGGGAUAACAGGCUGAUACCGCCCAAGAGUUCAUAUCGACGGCGGUGUUUGGCACCUCGAUGUCGGCUCAUCACAUCCUGGGGCUGAAGUAGGUCCCAAGGGUAUGGCUGUUCGCCAUUUAAAGUGGUACGCGAGCUGGGUUUAGAACGUCGUGAGACAGUUCGGUCCCUAUCUGCCGUGGGCGCUGGAGAACUGAGGGGGGCUGCUCCUAGUACGAGAGGACCGGAGUGGACGCAUCACUGGUGUUCGGGUUGUCAUGCCAAUGGCACUGCCCGGUAGCUAAAUGCGGAAGAGAUAAGUGCUGAAAGCAUCUAAGCACGAAACUUGCCCCGAGAUGAGUUCUCCCUGACUCCUUGAGAGUCCUGAAGGAACGUUGAAGACGACGACGUUGAUAGGCCGGGUGUGUAAGCGCAGCGAUGCGUUGAGCUAACCGGUACUAAUGAACCGUGAGGCUUAACCUUACAACGCCGAAGGUGUUU
This 2933-nucleotide ribosomal RNA is filed under the name Escherichia coli. RNAcentral describes it as "23S ribosomal RNA". It matches the Rfam family "Bacterial large subunit ribosomal RNA". Lineage: Bacteria; Pseudomonadati; Pseudomonadota; Gammaproteobacteria; Enterobacterales; Enterobacteriaceae. The record is from RNAcentral.